This 428-nucleotide ribosomal RNA is filed under the name Chloroflexota bacterium. RNAcentral describes it as "Chloroflexi bacterium partial 16S ribosomal RNA". It matches the Rfam family "Bacterial small subunit ribosomal RNA", at positions 355 to 776 of the family's 1533-position model. Lineage: Bacteria; Bacillati; Chloroflexota. The record is from RNAcentral.
UGGGGAAUAUUGCACAAUGGGCGCAAGCCUGAUGCAGCCAUGCCGCGUGUAUGAAGAAGGCCUUCGGGUUGUAAAGUACUUUCAGUCGGGAGGAAGGUGUCAAGGUUAAUAACCUUGGCAAUUGACGUUACCGACAGAAGAAGCACCGGCUAACUCCGUGCCAGCAGCCGCGGUAAUACGGAGGGUGCAAGCGUUGUUCGGAAUUAUUGGGCGUAAAGGGUACGCAGGCGGUUUAAUAAGUCGAAUGUUAAAGAUCGGGGCUCAACCCCGCAAAGCAUUGGAAACUGAUAAACUUGAGUAGUGGAGAGGAAAGUGGAAUUCCUAGUGUAGUGGUGAAAUACGUAGAUAUUAGGAGGAAUACCAGUAGCGAAGGCGACUUUCUGGACACAAACUGACGCUGAGGUACGAAAGCGUGGGGAGCAAACAGG